GCCCAACAAAAAAAGUUACAAAUUACAAAUAGUGGUAAUUUGUUAAAUCUUUUGAGAAUGUUUGCUAAACAUGUGCAUUUUAUAAUUUACUGGUUGUUUGAAAUACUUCUGACACUCGUGACAAUAAAAUUUAGGAACAACACCACAUUCAUAUUUCUGAUGAGUAGACAAUCCUCCCCUGUAUUUGUAUUUUUUUCCACACUGCGAACAAUUAUGCAUACCUACAUACACAUUUACACAAAAAACAUUAAUAAUUAGAUAAAUUGAAUAGGCAAAAUUAAAAUAUACUUUUUAGUCAACCAUUAUU
Molecule: non-coding RNA, 307 nt
Organism: Cinara cedri
Lineage: Eukaryota; Metazoa; Arthropoda; Insecta; Hemiptera; Aphididae
Source: the annotation of a GenBank genome assembly